Molecule: ribosomal RNA, 253 nt
Filed under: uncultured bacterium
Lineage: Bacteria
Description: partial 16S ribosomal RNA
Rfam family: Bacterial small subunit ribosomal RNA
Source: RNAcentral
UACGUAGGGCGCGAGCGUUAAUCGGAAUUACUGGGCGUAAAGCGUGCGCAGGCGGCUUUGCAAGACUGAUGUGAAAUCCCCGAGCUCAACCUGGGAACUGCAUUUGUGACUGCAAGGCUAGAGUACGGCAGAGGGGGAUGGAAUUCCGCGUGUAGCAGUGAAAUGCGUAGAUAUGCGGAGGAACACCAAUGGCGAAGGCAAUCCCCUGGGCAUGUACUGACGCUGAUGCACGAAAGCGUGGGGAGCAAACAGG